This 1341-nucleotide ribosomal RNA is filed under the name uncultured bacterium. RNAcentral's name for it is "partial 16S ribosomal RNA". It matches the Rfam family "Bacterial small subunit ribosomal RNA", at positions 28 to 1381 of the family's 1533-position model. The record is from RNAcentral.
GACGAACGCUGGCGGCGUGCUUAACACAUGCAAGUCGAACGGUAAGGCUCCAGCUUGCUGGGGUACACGAGUGGCGAACGGGUGAGUAACACGUGGGUGACCUGCCCUGCACUUCGGGAUAAGCCAGGGAAACUGGGUCUAAUACCGGAUAGGACUGCACCGUGAGGGUGUGGUGGAAAGUUUUUUCGGUGUGGGAUGGGCCCGCGGCCUAUCAGCUUGUUGGUGGGGUAAUGGCCUACCAAGGCGGCGACGGGUAGCCGGCCUGAGAGGGUGGACGGCCACAUUGGGACUGAGACACGGCCCAGACUCCUACGGGAGGCAGCAGUGGGGAAUAUUGCACAAUGGGCGGAAGCCUGAUGCAGCGACGCCGCGUGGGGGAUGACGGCCUUCGGGUUGUAAACUCCUUUCACCAUCGACGAAGGGUUUCUGACGGUAGAUGGAGAAGAAGCACCGGCUAACUACGUGCCAGCAGCCGCGGUAAUACGUAGGGUGCGAGCGUUGUCCGGAAUUACUGGGCGUAAAGAGCUCGUAGGUGGUUUGUCGCGUCGUCUGUGAAAUUCCGGGGCUUAACUCCGGGCGUGCAGGCGAUACGGGCAUAACUUGAGUACUGUAGGGGAGACUGGAAUUCCUGGUGUAGCGGUGAAAUGCGCAGAUAUCAGGAGGAACACCGGUGGCGAAGGCGGGUCUCUGGGCAGUAACUGACGCUGAGGAGCGAAAGCAUGGGGAGCGAACAGGAUUAGAUACCCUGGUAGUCCAUGCCGUAAACGGUGGGCGCUAGGUGUGGGUUUCCUUCCACGGGAUCCGUGCCGUAGCUAACGCAUUAAGCGCCCCGCCUGGGGAGUACGGCCGCAAGGCUAAAACUCAAAGGAAUUGACGGGGGCCCGCACAAGCGGCGGAGCAUGUGGAUUAAUUCGAUGCAACGCGAAGAACCUUACCUGGGCUUGACAUAUACAGGAUCGCGCCAGAGAUGGUGUUUCCCUUGUGGCUUGUAUACAGGUGGUGCAUGGUUGUCGUCAGCUCGUGUCGUGAGAUGUUGGGUUAAGUCCCGCAACGAGCGCAACCCUUGUCUUAUGUUGCCAGCACGUUGUGGUGGGGACUCGUAAGAAACUGCCGGGGUUAACUCGGAGGAAGGUGGGGAUGACGUCAAAUCAUCAUGCCCCUUAUGUCCAGGGCUUCACACAUGCUACAAUGGUUGGUACAGUGGGUUGCCAGUCCGUGAGGGCGAGCUAAUCCCGCAAAGCCGGUCUCAGUUCGGAUCGGGGUCUGCAACUCGACCCCGUGAAGUCGGAGUCGCUAGUAAUCGCAGAUCAGCAACGCUGCGGUGAAUACGUUCCCGGGCCU